This 2906-nucleotide ribosomal RNA is filed under the name Salmonella enterica. RNAcentral's name for it is "23S ribosomal RNA". It matches the Rfam family "Bacterial large subunit ribosomal RNA". RNAcentral also lists the same sequence under 1 other name. The record is from RNAcentral. Lineage: Bacteria; Pseudomonadati; Pseudomonadota; Gammaproteobacteria; Enterobacterales; Enterobacteriaceae.
GGUUAAGCGACUAAGCGUACACGGUGGAUGCCCUGGCAGUCAGAGGCGAUGAAGGACGUGCUAAUCUGCGAUAAGCGCCGGUAAGGUGAUAUGAACCGUUAUAACCGGCGAUUUCCGAAUGGGGAAACCCAGUGUGACUCGUCACACUAUCAUUAACUGAAUCCAUAGGUUAAUGAGGCGAACCGGGGGAACUGAAACAUCUAAGUACCCCGAGGAAAAGAAAUCAACCGAGAUUCCCCCAGUAGCGGCGAGCGAACGGGGAGGAGCCCAGAGCCUGAAUCAGCAUAUGUGUUAGUGGAAGCGUCUGGAAAGGCGCGCGAUACAGGGUGACAGCCCCGUACACAAAAGCGCAUGUGCUGUGAGCUCGAUGAGUAGGGCGGGACACGUGGUAUCCUGUCUGAAUAUGGGGGGACCAUCCUCCAAGGCUAAAUACUCCUGACUGACCGAUAGUGAACCAGUACCGUGAGGGAAAGGCGAAAAGAACCCCGGCGAGGGGAGUGAAAAAGAACCUGAAACCGUGUACGUACAAGCAGUGGGAGCACCCUUUGGGGUGUGACUGCGUACCUUUUGUAUAAUGGGUCAGCGACUUAUAUUCUGUAGCAAGGUUAACCGAAUAGGGGAGCCGGAGGGAAACCGAGUCUUAACCGGGCGUUAAGUUGCAGGGUAUAGACCCGAAACCCGGUGAUCUAGCCAUGGGCAGGUUGAAGGUUGGGUAACACUAACUGGAGGACCGAACCGACUAAUGUUGAAAAAUUAGCGGAUGACCUGUGGCUGGGGGUGAAAGGCCAAUCAAACCGGGAGAUAGCUGGUUCUCCCCGAAAGCUAUUUAGGUAGCGCCUCGUGAAUUCAUCUCCGGGGGUAGAGCACUGUUUCGGCUAGGGGGCCAUCCCGGCUUACCAACCCGAUGCAAACUGCGAAUACCGGAGAAUGUUAUCACGGGAGACACACGGCGGGUGCUAACGUCCGUCGUGAAGAGGGAAACAACCCAGACCGCCAGCUAAGGUCCCAAAGUCAUGGUUAAGUGGGAAACGAUGUGGGAAGGCCCAGACAGCCAGGAUGUUGGCUUAGAAGCAGCCAUCAUUUAAAGAAAGCGUAAUAGCUCACUGGUCGAGUCGGCCUGCGCGGAAGAUGUAACGGGGCUAAACCAUGCACCGAAGCUGCGGCAGCGACGCUGAUGCGUUGUUGGGUAGGGGAGCGUUCUGUAAGCCUGCGAAGGUGGCCUGUGAGGGUUGCUGGAGGUAUCAGAAGUGCGAAUGCUGACAUAAGUAACGAUAAAGCGGGUGAAAAGCCCGCUCGCCGGAAGACCAAGGGUUCCUGUCCAACGUUAAUCGGGGCAGGGUGAGUCGACCCCUAAGGCGAGGCCGAAAGGCGUAGUCGAUGGGAAACGGGUUAAUAUUCCCGUACUUGGUGUUACUGCGAAGGGGGGACGGAGAAGGCUAUGUUGGCCGGGCGACGGUUGUCCCGGUUUAAGCGUGUAGGUGUGUGUUCCAGGUAAAUCCGGUUCACUUUAACACUGAGGCGUGAUGACGAGGCACUACGGUGCUGAAGCAACAAAUGCCCUGCUUCCAGGAAAAGCCUCUAAGCAUCAGGUAACAUCAAAUCGUACCCCAAACCGACACAGGUGGUCAGGUAGAGAAUACCAAGGCGCUUGAGAGAACUCGGGUGAAGGAACUAGGCAAAAUGGUGCCGUAACUUCGGGAGAAGGCACGCUGACACGUAGGUGAAGUGAUUUACUCAUGGAGCUGAAGUCAGUCGAAGAUACCAGCUGGCUGCAACUGUUUAUUAAAAACACAGCACUGUGCAAACACGAAAGUGGACGUAUACGGUGUGACGCCUGCCCGGUGCCGGAAGGUUAAUUGAUGGGGUCAGCGCAAGCGAAGCUCCUGAUCGAAGCCCCGGUAAACGGCGGCCGUAACUAUAACGGUCCUAAGGUAGCGAAAUUCCUUGUCGGGUAAGUUCCGACCUGCACGAAUGGCGUAAUGAUGGCCAGGCUGUCUCCACCCGAGACUCAGUGAAAUUGAACUCGCUGUGAAGAUGCAGUGUACCCGCGGCAAGACGGAAAGACCCCGUGAACCUUUACUAUAGCUUGACACUGAACAUUGAGCCUUGAUGUGUAGGAUAGGUGGGAGGCUUUGAAGUGUGGACGCCAGUCUGCAUGGAGCCGGCCUUGAAAUACCACCCUUUAAUGUUUGAUGUUCUAACGUGGACCCGUGAUCCGGGUUGCGGACAGUGUCUGGUGGGUAGUUUGACUGGGGCGGUCUCCUCCUAAAGAGUAACGGAGGAGCACGAAGGUUGGCUAAUCCUGGUCGGACAUCAGGAGGUUAGUGCAAUGGCAUAAGCCAGCUUGACUGCGAGCGUGACGGCGCGAGCAGGUGCGAAAGCAGGUCAUAGUGAUCCGGUGGUUCUGAAUGGAAGGGCCAUCGCUCAACGGAUAAAAGGUACUCCGGGGAUAACAGGCUGAUACCGCCCAAGAGUUCAUAUCGACGGCGGUGUUUGGCACCUCGAUGUCGGCUCAUCACAUCCUGGGGCUGAAGUAGGUCCCAAGGGUAUGGCUGUUCGCCAUUUAAAGUGGUACGCGAGCUGGGUUUAGAACGUCGUGAGACAGUUCGGUCCCUAUCUGCCGUGGGCGCUGGAGAACUGAGGGGGGCUGCUCCUAGUACGAGAGGACCGGAGUGGACGCAUCACUGGUGUUCGGGUUGUCAUGCCAAUGGCACUGCCCGGUAGCUAAAUGCGGAAGAGAUAAGUGCUGAAAGCAUCUAAGCACGAAACUUGCCCCGAGAUGAGUUCUCCCUGAGACUUAGAGUCUCCUGAAGGAACGUUGAAGACGACGACGUUGAUAGGCCGGGUGUGUAAGCGCAGCGAUGCGUUGAGCUAACCGGUACUAAUGAACCGUGAGGCUUAACCUU